RNAcentral lists this ribosomal RNA (440 nucleotides) under uncultured bacterium. Its description in RNAcentral is "partial 16S ribosomal RNA". It matches the Rfam family "Bacterial small subunit ribosomal RNA", at positions 338 to 795 of the family's 1533-position model. The record is from RNAcentral.
CCUACGGGAGGCAGCAGUGGGGAAUAUUGCACAAUGGGGGAAACCCUGAUGCAGCGACGCCGCGUGAGUGAAGAAGUAUUUCGGUACGUAAAGCUCUAUCAGCAGGGAAGAAAAUGACGGUACCUGACUAAGAAGCCCCGGCUAACUACGGGCCAGCAGCCGCGGUAAUACGUAGGGGGCAAGCGUUAUCCGGAUUUACUGGGUGUAAAGGGAGCGUAGACGGCAGCGCAAGUCUGGAGUGAAAUCCCAUGGCUUAACCAUGGAACUGCUUUGGAAACUGUGCAGCUAGAGUGCAGGAGAGGUAAGCGGAAUUGCUGGUGUAGCGGUGAAAUGCGUAGAUAUUAGGAGGAACACCAGUGGCGAAGGCGGCUUACUGGACUGUAACUGACGUUGAGGCUCGAAAGCGUGGGGAGCAAACAGGAUUAGAUACCCCUGUAGUC